This 1383-nucleotide ribosomal RNA is filed under the name Peritropis armillaria. RNAcentral describes it as "SSU rRNA". It matches the Rfam family "Eukaryotic small subunit ribosomal RNA", at positions 423 to 1729 of the family's 1831-position model. Lineage: Eukaryota; Metazoa; Arthropoda; Insecta; Hemiptera; Miridae. The record is from RNAcentral.
AGGCAGCAGGCACGCAAUUACCCACUCCCGGCACGGGGAGGUAGUGACAAAAAAUAACGAUACGGGACUCUUAUGAGGCCCCGUAAUCGGAAUGAGUACACUUUAAAUCCUUUAACAAGGAUCCAUUGGAGGGCAAGUCUGGUGCCAGCAGCCGCGGUAAUUCCAGCUCCAAUAGCGUAUAUUAAAGUUGUUGCGGUUAAAAAGCUCGUAGUUGGUUCUGCGUGCUACGCUGCCGGUUCGCCGCCUGCCGGUGUAACUGGCAUGCCGUGGCAUGUCCUGUCGGUGGUGAACGGGAGCCCUGUCUAGGUGACGGCCUGAGCUCGCUCAGUGCUGUUGGCCGAGGGUCAACCCCGUUCGCCUAUCUAUCCUACCUAGGUGCUCUUCACCGAGUGUCGAGGUAGGCCGACACGUUUACUUUGAACAAAUUAAAGUGCUCAAAGCAGGCUAAAAUCUCUGCCUGAAUAGUGGUGCAUGGAAUAAUAAAACAGGACCUUGGUUCUAUUUUGUUGGUUCUUAGGAACACAAGGUAAUGAUCAAUACGGACAGGCGGGGGCAUUCGUAUUGCGACGUUAGAGGUGAAAUUCUUGGAUCGUCGCAAGACGCACAAGAGCGAAAGCAUUUGCCAAGUAUGUCUUGAUUGAUCAAGAACGAAAGUUAGAGGUUCGAAGGCGAUCAGAUACCGCCCUAGUUCUAACCAUAAACGAUGCCAGCCAGCGAUCCGCCAAUGUUCCUCCGAUGACUUGGCGGGGAGCUUCUUCCCGGGAAACCAAAGCUUUUGGGUUCCGGGGGAAGUAUGGUUGCAAAGCUGAAACUUAAAGGAAUUGACGGAAGGGCACCACCAGGAGUGGAGCCUGCGGCUUAAUUUGACUCAACACGGGAAACCUCACCAGGCCAGGACAUUGGAAGGAUUGACAGAUUGAUAGCUCUUUCUUGAUUCAGUGGGUAGUGGUGCAUGGCCGUUCUUAGUUGGUGGAUCGAUUUGUCUGGUUAAUUCCGAUAACGAACGAGACUCUAGCCUAUUAACUAGGCGGUUACCGGUGUCCACGCCACCGGCGACAUUCAUUCUUCUUAAGGGGACAGGCGGCUUACAGCCGCACGAGAUUGAGCAAUAACAGGUCUGUGAUGCCCUUAGAUGUCCUGGGCCGCACGCGCGCUACACUGAAGGAAUCAGCGUGUGCCUCCCUGGCCGAAAGGUCCGGGUAAUCCGCUGAACCUCCUGCGUGCUAGGAAUUGGGGCUUGCAAUUGUUCCCCAUGAACGAGGAAUUCCCAGUAAGCGCGAGUCAUAAGCUCGCGUUGAUUACGUCCCUGCCCUUUGUACACACCGCCCGUCGCUACUACCGAUUGAAUGAUUUAGUGAGGUCUUCAGACUGGCGGUAAUCCUA